RNAcentral lists this long non-coding RNA (210 nucleotides) under Lathyrus oleraceus (garden pea). Its description in RNAcentral is "Pisum sativum (pea) long non-coding RNA (PSAT_LNC035958)". The record is from RNAcentral. Lineage: Eukaryota; Viridiplantae; Streptophyta; Magnoliopsida; Fabales; Fabaceae.
AAUAUCACUCACAAGUUUGAAUAGCCUCUCUUUUCUCAUUACUUACACAUAACACACACACUUUUGAGGUCUUUCGGGUUGUAGCUUGGCUUGAGUUAGGGUAUGGAUUAAAAAAAGGAAAACAAGGGGCUUUUGGUUCAGAGUCGAUGUUACAUCCUGUGUUUGUUUCUUUUAUUUCCUCGAUUUUCUUUUCUUAUUUCUUGAAUUUUU